MicroRNA precursor from Chlorocebus sabaeus (green monkey), 74 nucleotides. The record is from Ensembl. NCBI's taxonomy places the organism in Eukaryota, Metazoa, Chordata, Mammalia, Primates, Cercopithecidae.
AAUCUAAAGGAUCUGUGCUAGGUUUAACAUGUUGAGCAUUACUCAUGUUAAACCUAGUACAGGUCCUUUAGAUU